RNAcentral lists this ribosomal RNA (460 nucleotides) under uncultured bacterium. Its description in RNAcentral is "partial 16S ribosomal RNA". It matches the Rfam family "Bacterial small subunit ribosomal RNA", at positions 338 to 795 of the family's 1533-position model. The record is from RNAcentral.
CCUACGGGAGGCAGCAGUGAGGAAUAUUGGUCAAUGGACGAGAGUCUGAACCAGCCAAGUAGCGUGAAGGAUGACUGCCCUAUGGGUUGUAAACUUCUUUUAUAUGGGAAUAAAAUGUUCCACGUUUGGGAUUUUGUAUGUACCAUAUGAAUAAGGAUCGGCUAACUCCGUGCCAGCAGCCGCGGUAAUACGGAGGAUCCGAGCGUUAUCCGGAUUUAUUGGGUUUAAAGGGAGCGUAGGUGGAUUGUUAAGUCAGUUGUGAAAGUUUGCGGCUCAACCGUAAAAUUGCAGUUGAAACUGGCAGUCUUGAGUACAGUAGAGGUGGGCGGAAUUCGUGGUGUAGCGGUGAAAUGCUUAGAUAUCACGAAGAACUCCGAUUGCGAAGGCAGUUCACUGGACUGCAACUGACACCGAGGCUCGAAAGUGUGGGUAUCAAACAGGAGUAGAUACCCGGGUAGUC